UACGGGGGGAGCAAGCGUUGUUCGGAUUUACUGGGCGUAAAGGGCGCGUAGGCGGUCAGCACAAGUCAGUUGUGAAAUCUCCGGGCUUAACUCGGAACGGUCAACUGAUACUGCGCGGCUAGAGUGCAGAAGGGGCAAUCGGAAUUCUCGGUGUAGCGGUGAAAUGCGUAGAUAUCGAGAGGAACACCUGAGGUGAAGACGGGUUGCUGGGCCGACACUGACGCUGACAGCGCGAAAGCCAGGGGAGCAAACGGG
RNAcentral lists this ribosomal RNA (255 nucleotides) under uncultured bacterium. Its description in RNAcentral is "partial 16S ribosomal RNA". It matches the Rfam family "Bacterial small subunit ribosomal RNA", at positions 524 to 776 of the family's 1533-position model. The record is from RNAcentral.